AGAGUUUGAUCAUGGCUCAGAUUGAACGCUGGCGGCAGGCCUAACACAUGCAAGUCGAGCGGAUGAAGRGAGCUUGCUCUCUGAUUCAGCGGCGGACGGGUGAGUAAUGCCUAGGAAUCUGCCURKUAGUGGGGGACAACGUUUCGAAAGGAACGCUAAUACCGCAUACGUCCUACGGGAGAAAGCAGGGGACCUUCGGGCCUUGCGCUAWYAGAUGAGCCUAGGUCGGAUUAGCUNGUUGGUGAGGUAAWGGCUCACCAAGGCGACGAUCCGUAACUGGUCUGAGAGGAUGAUCAGYCACACUGGAACUGAGACACGGUCCAGACUCCUACGGGACGCAGCAG
Molecule: ribosomal RNA, 344 nt
Filed under: uncultured bacterium
Lineage: Bacteria
Description: partial 16S ribosomal RNA
Rfam family: Bacterial small subunit ribosomal RNA
Source: RNAcentral